CAUGCAAGUCGAACGGCAGCAUGUAUCUAGCUUGCUAGAUUGAUGGCGAGUGGCGAACGGGUGAGUAAUACAUCGGAACGUGCCCUGUAGUGGGGGAUAACUAGUCGAAAGAUUAGCUAAUACCGCAUACACCUGAGGGUGAAAGUGGGGGACCGCAAGGCCUCAUGCUAUAGGAGCGGCCGAUGUCUGAUUAGCUAGUUGGUGAGGUAAAGGCUCACCAAGGCGACGAUCAGUAUCUGGUCUGAGAGGACGAUCAGCCACACUGGGACUGAGACACGGCCCAGACUCCUACGGGAGGCAGCAGUGGGGAAUUUUGGACAAUGGGCGAAAGCCUGAUCCACCAAUGCCGCGUGUGUGAAGAAGGCCUUCGGGUUGUAAAGCACUUUUGUCCGGAAAGAAAUGGCUCUGGUUAAUACCUGGGGUCGAUGACGGUACCGGAAGAAUAAGGACCGGCUAACUACGUGCCAGCAGCCGCGGUAAUACGUAGGGUCCAAGCGUUAAUCGGAAUUACUGGGCGUAAAGCGUGCGCAUGCGGUUGUGCAAGACCGAUGUGAAAUCCCCGAGCUUAACUUGGGAAUUGCAUUGGUGACUGCACGGCUAGAGUGUGUCACAGGGGGGUAGAAUUCCACGUGUAGCAGUGAAAUGCGUACAGAUGUGGAGGAAUACCGAUGGCGAAGGCAGCCCCCUGGGAUAACACUGACGCUCAUGCACG
RNAcentral lists this ribosomal RNA (712 nucleotides) under uncultured bacterium. Its description in RNAcentral is "bacterial SSU rRNA". It matches the Rfam family "Bacterial small subunit ribosomal RNA", at positions 54 to 755 of the family's 1533-position model. The record is from RNAcentral.